This 797-nucleotide long non-coding RNA is filed under the name Marmota monax (woodchuck). Lineage: Eukaryota; Metazoa; Chordata; Mammalia; Rodentia; Sciuridae. The record is from RNAcentral.
AUUCCACAUCUGAAAGUCCAUUGGUGGCUUCCAGGAUGCUGUCAAGUCCUGGUGCUUAUGAUUUCUGUCGAAUAAUCAGUUGUCUUGGGUGACCAGAAUAAGGGUUAAAAUUUGACCCAAAUUUAAAAAAAAAAAAAGCCACAGUCCUGCCUGCAUUGACUCUGUGGUCCUGGCUUUCCAUUCAGCAGACAGUACCUCAAGGCCUUUCCUGUUCCUCUCCGGGCAUGAGAUGUGUUUGCCCAGCCUCCGCUGUCCCUGGAAGCAGGGAUCUGGGGAUACAGGUUUGGGCCUGGCAACCCUGCAGGGGCUGGAUAAGCAGAGUUUCCAUAGGGGAGUGAGCCAUCCUGAGGACUCCAGGGCUGACCACACUGCCAGGCCUUUGGGACUCAUGUGUCCAGCUGGGAGUUGGGCCUAGUGGACCCCGCCACUUCCCCUGAGAGACUUCUCCCUGGAAGUGUCACCCACCUGGGCAUCUGGCUGAAUUUCUGAGGAAGUGAUUUCUCUGCAGGAGGUUGGAGGAGGAAGCUGCCGUGGGUGCUGCCUACUGUGCCAGGCUGGAAGACCUGCUGCAGCACUCAGACUUUGUGAUGCUGGCUGCCAGCCUGACGCCCCAGACCCAGGGCCUGAUGGGGAGGCGGGAGCUGCAGCUGAUGAAGCGAAGUGCUGUGCUGGUCAAUGUCGGCAGAGGUAGGCCUGUCUGUGAUGACCGUGUGGCCAGGAGACAUGGCUGGGAGUCUCUAGCUCUGCCCUUGGCUUUUCUUGUCCCCUUUAUCCUGAGUGGAUGCCCUGGUCCAGAA